UAGGUCGGACUUGCCGUGGGAAUUCCGUGUCGGUCGUUCGAUAUGCUCUCGCACAGUUUGUUCGUCAACACUGGGAACAUACUCUCCCUGAGCGAAGCGAAACAGAAGGCGAGUCAAAAUUCGACGGAUGAGUUGAUCGAGACGCUGAAGAUCGUUCUAAACGAUGAACAAAGCAAGGGAGAUGACGAGACAAUUAUCAACGGUAAGAAGGAUACGAGUUUACAGGACAUGGAUAGAAAAGACUUGAAGAUCACCGUAAAAGUAUUUAUUUCAUCACCCGAUGUUAAUUCAUUGAAAGAAGCAUUGGAUCAAGCAUUUGAGACACUUCAUACAGAUACUAUAGAAUCACUAGUAAUAGCUUACAAAAGUGCUGAGAGUCCAGAAGAUAUGCUGUCAUCGUUAAAAAAAAUAUGGUCCAUCAUAGAAGAAUACGUAAAAGUUGACAAGCUGUCCAGUGUUGGAUUGAGCGAUAUUAACACAAACACUUUCAUUGAACUGUUCCAGUGGGCUGAUAUAAAACCAAACAUUGUACAGAUUAAUUUAGCUACGUGCUGUGUGGUGCCACCAGCCUUGCAGGAAUUUACUAAAGAAAAUGAUAUUCAGUUGCUAACUCAUAGUGAUCCCUGUCAAAUUCUUCCUCAAGAAGUAUUAGAGAAUAUAUUCGGAUCUACUGCCUAUUUAUACUGGCUGAUAAGAUAUCAAAUUCACCUCAAAUGCCGUGGAAUUUUAUCAUCGAAAGGGUACUUACUGCGCAUUAACAAGUCUAAUGUUAAACCUUAACGUUAGUAGCACCGCUAAAUGUUAUUUCUGCACGAGAUUUACUGGUAUCCGGAGAACCUGGGAUAAUUCUUGCGCCUUGAAAAGAAUCUGUAGGAUAACACGUUAUCUCGACUAUAUCAUGACAGCGAGGAGGGCCG
This is an RNA transcript of Cyphomyrmex costatus, 917 nucleotides long. It is a transcript of the gene named Glutamate-cysteine ligase modifier subunit, with no coding region annotated. The record is from RefSeq and is a predicted model, not a curated record. Lineage: Eukaryota; Metazoa; Arthropoda; Insecta; Hymenoptera; Formicidae. The transcript is spliced from 8 exons.